AGACGCUACUUCUUGGAACCUAAGAGGAAGAACACAAAUCAGCACAAGGAGGAACAAAAUCAGUUUGGCCAGAUAAAACUGAUCUUUAAUUUCAAGAUUUCAGAGGCUUUGUACCUUUUUAGAAACCCUAUAGGUUAAUAUAUGAAAAUCUAACCCAUACUCCCCGCCCAAUCCCCUAACCAUGAAUUGAUUAAAUUGUUAUUGCCCUGUUUAAAAUAUGUGUUUAUCCUAGUGUGUGUUGUGCCCCUCUCACCCCCUGGGUAUCUGUAGCUGGCUGUGAUGUUCUCCUCUCUGCUUCUGCUCACGGUCUCAGUGCUGAUGUUCUGGCUAAUCUGAGCCGUGUCAGUAUAGAGCCUCUGCUUUAAGACAUCUUUUGUGAGCAUCCAGAAGACAUGAUCUGCAUUCAGUGUAGCGAUAACAAACGGCAUGUCAUUCUUCAGAACGGAAGUGCAGCAGUCCUCCAGCACAAACACUUUCACCUUAUCGUAACAA
Long non-coding RNA from Clupea harengus (Atlantic herring), 492 nucleotides. RefSeq lists it as uncharacterized. The record is from RefSeq and is a predicted model, not a curated record. The transcript is spliced from 2 exons. NCBI's taxonomy places the organism in Eukaryota, Metazoa, Chordata, Actinopteri, Clupeiformes, Clupeidae.